RNAcentral lists this ribosomal RNA (305 nucleotides) under uncultured bacterium. RNAcentral's name for it is "bacterial SSU rRNA". It matches the Rfam family "Bacterial small subunit ribosomal RNA", at positions 336 to 655 of the family's 1533-position model. The record is from RNAcentral.
UUCCUACGGGGGGCAGCAGUAGGGAAUAUUGCUCAAUGGGGGAAACCCUGAAGCAGCAACGCCGCGUGGAGGAUGAAGGUUUUCGGAUUGUAAACUUCUUUUAUCAGGGACGAAGGAUGUGACGGUACCUGAUGAAUAAGCUCCGGCUAACUACGUGCCAGCAGCCGCGGUAAUACGUAGGGAGCAAGCGUUAUCCGGAUUUACUGGGUGUAAAGGGCGCGUAGGCGGGAUGGCAAGUCAGAUGUGAAAUCCGGGGGCUCAACCCCUGAACUGCAUUUGAAACUGUCGUUCUUGAGUACUGGAGA